RNAcentral lists this long non-coding RNA (776 nucleotides) under Felis catus (domestic cat). RNAcentral describes it as "lncRNA (ENSFCAG00000052541.1)". The record is from RNAcentral. Lineage: Eukaryota; Metazoa; Chordata; Mammalia; Carnivora; Felidae.
AAAUGAUCCCUGCUGCUUCUACCUGCCUCUUAAAUAUAUUUCAAACACCGGCAUUCUCCCCAUCACUGCCGCCAACCAACAUCUUAGUUCAACUACCUCUUCUAUUGCCUGGAUCAUUCCAACAGAAACCUCCCUAAAUCUGCCCUACUCUUAUCUUCCUCUGUGUAGAGGAGCACUGUAGAGACAUGAGUGAAUUUUAAAUUAAGCCUGAUCACACCGUCACAGAAUAUCAUGCGCCUUACAGCUUGAUGGUAUGUCCAUUUGCUGUUAGAUCCAUUGCCAAAGAGUCUUGUGCUGCUCUCUAUCACAGGGCGCUUCCUUCCUCCUGGCUGGUUUCCUGGUCAUUUGUGAAAUAUGGGAAGUCAGUAUCCCAACUGUGAUUCCAGCUUCCGCCCAACGUUCAACUUCCUGUGCGGCCGCAGUUAUCACCGGAAAUGCCAAUCACAGCUUUUUCUUGUAUCGGAAGCUCUGCCACACCACCCCCUCUCUGUAUCCCUUCAGCAUAACGGUUUAGAAGCCUGAAAUGUGAGGCGCUGUCACCCACACUGUACUCGGGGCAUACAAGGCAUGAUGACGUCAGACAUCGCUCUUGCAACACUCUCCAGGACCUGAGUCUGCAUUUAGAGCUCAAAGGACAUUGAGUGUUCACAUCUGAUUUUAAGCUGCCCUUCUGCUUUGUGCGAUCACUUUACAAAUGGAAUGAUCCGCCUCGAUAUUGGAGCGGGGGGGGGGGGGGGGGGGCGGAGCUGGAUUUCAAACAGCUCUUCUUUUAGUGU